GGCCUGCCCCCCAACAAGGUUAACUACCUACUCGGGGUGAUUUUAUUAUUCAUAUCUUUGAAACCUUUGUAUUCUACAUUGAAAUAUGUUAAAUAUCUAUAAAGAAUCAGUGCUUUGCUAUAACUUUAUUUCAAUGCUUUUUUUUUUUGAUGAAAAAGUAUUUUAAUGUAAGCAUGGCCAGUAAUUAACAAUUGAAUUACAAAAAUGAUCGUUAGUAUGGUCCACCCGUGUUGAUACAGCGAACUAUUGGAAAGUUGUCCAUCAUUGUUCGCUGCCUAUGAGGUCCUUUAUGUGGAACUUUUGUAUCCACAUAGAUUCCACUAAAGGUUGUUGAAGUUUUCCAUUGACAAAGGUUGGGUUAUUUGUGAAUGGACAUGCGGUGCUUAUGUAAGCUUGCUGAAGAGGUUUCGUGAGUAUAUAAUAUUGCCGCCUCUUCCCGCGUAUGGUCAGGAGAUAGGCAAAUAGUGACGCAAAUAAACAAAUAAGCACUAUUUUAAUCUGAAUAUCGUACUGCAAGAAAACGCACCAUGGUUUGUACUAUCCUAUGUAUAUGCACACGCUUAACCUAGUUGUAGGAAAACGGUGCGGCCUACAGAAUUCGACGGGGCUUUUCGGUUACGCCUUUUUCUUGCAGAAAAGAAUAUGCGCGGAUCACAUGACGGUGGCUUUCUUUGGGCGCCCAUCGCAAGAGGUCUGUAAUUAAUGCUACGCUACGUGAGAAAUUCUCCCUAGUGCUGUUAGACAAACAACCAACUGCUUUUGCCACGUAGAAGGCAGUGGUGGUCAAGAAGCAUAUUUGAUGAAGGAAGGUUCUGAUGGAAAACUCAAAGUGGUGAGCAUGAAACAACUGGCAAAUGCGCUAUGCCAGGAGAAACUUAGUAAAAGUUCAUUAGUUCGCAUAUUUUGGAUAAGAGGGCGUGGCAUUUUAGUGCUUGACGAUGUUGUCUUUGUUGACUCCGCUGGCGUUGAUGUCUCUGUUACCUUGGAUGACGAUUGCUUUUGCGACUGAUCCAGCUAUUCUCAUAACUCCUUCACCUCCGAUACACGCACAUCGUUACAUACGUGGUCAUUGUUUUGUGUGGUCACAAAGCAAAAAAGGUAAUACACGAACCAGUGUGCAUGACUUGAAAAUUAAAGGCAAAGCGCUCAUGCUGUGCUAGCAAGUGGAAAGAUCCCUCCACGAACUGUCUGACCUCAUCGAUGGUGAGCUUGGCACAUAUCAGCGCGCAGCUACCUGGGUGCUAUGCGAACUGAUGACAGUCAUCGAUAAAUUGCCGGAAUUUUAACACGCGAUUUAAACAAAAUAAAUGCGUUAGCAUGCUACUAUUGGCCCUAAAAACAGGACGAAAAAAUGCACAGCGGUAUAUUUUCUCAAACGUCCCUACAAAAGAAAUUUCCUAGCGGCAACGUGGAAAAAAAACGAUUGCAUUGGAUUGUACGGUUAUUGGUAAAUUUUACGGAGAUUCCUGCUGCCAGAUAGCGGUCUGACAAAACUCAAACGACAGAAGGUUCCCCCUGCGUUCAUCGAUGGAUUCUUAAAUGGUUUGCGCUUGCCAACUAAUCUACUGAAAGAUUUUUUAGUUCGCAGUGAGUUGUCUUUUAUUUCGGCUUAUUUAUACGUUUAUUUCCUAUUACUUGAGCCUCAUUGUAAUACCUGGAGGAGGAUAAAGUUCUGACAGUUGUCGCUAAAAAAAAUAUCCUGCCGUUCAUGGUGAUACGUGAGCAGGAUUUUAUUAAUUUUUCGCUUGCGUUGAGGACUAAAUACUAUUCUUUAUGAAUUCGUCAGUGAAACGUCCAUAUUAGGGACUGUCUUGCUAGAUGUCCCGAUUUGCAGCGACUCAUGAUAAGGGCUUAAAAUAGGUAUGUAUAGCAACAAAUAGUCAGUAGUUAAUUGUACCUGAACCUGCAAACUUACUGGGGCAGAGUAUAAUAACGCAAAAAAUUUGCAAUUCAGAGUGUAAAAACAAGAGGGAGCUACAAAGAUAUUUUUAAUAGCAGAAAAUAACUAAGCGUAAACAAGAGUCAAAAUUAGUGGAAAUCAAAAUAAUAAUGACGUACUGGAUUACGUAAAUGUUUGUGAGUAAAGAAAAGGGUUUAACUGAUUUGUUCGUUGUGUAAUAUUUACAGCAGGAGUGGCAAAACAGUGCAAGGACUGCUUACUUGCAA
This 2166-nucleotide long non-coding RNA is filed under the name Rhagoletis pomonella (apple maggot). RNAcentral's name for it is "uncharacterized LOC118746908, transcript variant X1". The record is from RNAcentral. Lineage: Eukaryota; Metazoa; Arthropoda; Insecta; Diptera; Tephritidae.